Molecule: small nuclear RNA, 103 nt
Filed under: Octodon degus (degu)
Lineage: Eukaryota; Metazoa; Chordata; Mammalia; Rodentia; Octodontidae
Source: RNAcentral
AUGCUAGAUUUGAUGGUAUACUAAACCUGGAGUGAUGCAGGGAAAAUUAGUAUAACCCCUGUAGAUGAACGCCACACACAUUUGUGAAGUGCUUCAUAUAUUC